AAGGAAACAUGCAUAAUUGACAGGCCUAUUUCAGGAAUUAGCCACCCAUCUGACCACACAUCUACCUGCUCUGCUCUUUCAUCCUCUGUGGGAUUAUUCAGCGUCUCAGAAAAGUCUGUCUCACCUGUAAAGGAUCAUUUCAUGGUAAACAGAUUUAAUGAACAUGCUUGUUGUCAUUGUUUAUUUGUAUGUUUUCCAAACGGUGGCCGUGUUUUCACCUUGCUGACUAAUCAUGACAUGUUAGGAUUGCUGGGAAUGUGCAAAUGCUGGGUACAAUUGUCAUCACACAUAGGAACUGUUUGAAGUCAGAUCAGCAGGCAGGAUGUUCUGGUGAUGAGUGAUUUUUCUCCCCCUUAUUAUGCCCUCUGUUACCACGCAGAUGAGUUAAUUAAGCUGAGCCAGAGGCUAUGCACUCGCAUUCCAGGUAGAUGUGCCGCUGCGAUAUUCAGACGUUAUUAAAAAAUUAAACUGUAAUAUUGAGUUUUGAAUAUCCUAAAUGCAUAAGGCUCUUGAAUGGUUGCAAAUUAUCAUUGGAAAUUUUUAAAACGUGGUACUUCCUGGAGACCAUUACACCAAAACACCUCAAGGUAGCAUUGAAAUAGCUUAGAGUUGCCCAAAGGACCACAGAUUCUUCAGUGACCAUAGCAGAUCCCACUCUUGUCUCAUUUCUAUUGCAACAUAUAUUUUUCCUCUGACAAUACUAAGCAUUUCAUGUGCAUUUUUGACCUCAGCACUAAAAGCCUAUUUGCAUGUGGGGCUAUUCAGACCAAUCAGACUCCAGCACAAGUGGGAGAUGACGACAUCAUUUACCUGCUCCACUGGGCUGGGAGAUAAGCUCGUGCCCCUGCUGCUCCCCGUGAUGUUCUGUCUGCUGUUUGGACGACUCAGGAAAGAGAGCUGUGUGUUACAGAUGAUGACGAGUGGCAUUAAAGCAGCGCGAGGAGCCAUCCCAUCACCUGUACAGUCAGCAGAGGGGAGAGAGAUGUGCGUGUUGGCCUUUAGAGGAGCUUUGGUAAGGCAAAGUUGGUGGUAUUGCUACCUCGUUUCCCCACCCAAGAUGAAUGUAAAACUAUCCCAAUCAUGUAAAUACAAAUGAUUUUAAUGUAAAGCGAAGAUGAUUUUUAUGACACUAUGAUGAAGAUACUUUAUGCGUUGAGCACAUAGAUUGUAUAUACAAGUACACCCUGGUGAGUAUCCAGUAUAGGUCUUAAAUCCCGCCUUCCCCAUUCGUCCUUAUAGGGUUGUGGACACACUUCAGAAAUUUAUUACACAAAAUAUAACAUUUUUUAUUUUUUACUUGAGUAAAUAGUUGCUCAUAUGUCAGUAUCUGAAUCAAACAAUUCCUACAAAGUGUUUUCUAAAGCACCCUUUAACAGUUUUUAUAUGUAAUUUGUUCUAUAAAAAAAGGUUUAUCCUAAUCUAUCCCACACUCUGGGAAUGUGCUUUUAAUUUUGCCCCCUGUGAUGGCCUAAACUGCCACUACCUCGUGUUAGUAUUUCUUUUUCUUUGGGUUUUAACACCAGCUUUGUUUGUAGUUCAAAAAGAGCACAUUACACACCUUUCUGUUGAAAUAAAAUCACUUUAAUUACAUGUAUGGCAGUUGUUUUCUAAUUUUGGUGCACACAAUUUAGUUAAAGAACUGUCACAUGGUUGAUUUUCCACAUCAUGCUUUAAUCUCAAGUUAUACUUACUCCUGUUUUCUUUUGUUUGAGUUUCCUGGCAAAGGGCUGUCUGCUGAUCAAAGAUGGCCUUUUAAGCCCUGCCCACAGGAAGUGGGAGAGACCAUGGAGGGGGAACACAGGGGCAGCAUGGACUUUUAUUUAAUCUCCAAUCUUCUGUUUGUGUUCUUUUCAGUUUGUAAAGGCAAUUUAGUUUAUUCUGUAAAUAGUUUGUUUUGAUGAUUUGAUGCUAUUUUUCUGAGUUUGUUAAAUGUUUAGUUUGGAGUCACAUUUAGUUUCCCCCUUGUGUAUCUGUUGGACUAGUCCUUUGUCUAUUUAAACCCCCAGCAUGUCUCACUUUAAUUACGUCUGUUUGAUUAUGUUAGGUGGUAGCGUUAGUUGAUUUUGCUGAGUUGACCUCUUUUAGAAUGGGCCCAGGUUUUGUUUCUUUUUUUUGUUCUACCAAAUUAAGUUGAACAUUUGUUAUGAUUUGAUCUAUUUUUCCAAGUAAAUAAAGGAACAAGAUCUUUUUCCACACCUUUGUCCUUUGCCUGAUUGCUUGGUCCCUUACACCCCCCUAUACCAUGACAUUAAAGGUUCAGUUUGUAGAAAAAAAGAGUAUUAAUCAGUAUUCAGUAUUUAGUUGUCAUAUAAACUGAAAUGUUGCCUUGCAUCUCUCCUAUCAGUGAAGCAAUGUUGGUCUUCAAGAACGAGAAUCUCCUGAAAUGCAUCUUGGGUAAGAUACUCAGACCAUGAAGAUUUUAGCAUCGGAACGCCAAUCAGUAAAAAUUCUUUGUACAUUGAAACUGCUUUGAAAAAAUACAAGAAUGUUUGUGUCACUAGUUUUUGUGUUACAGCACAUGGUGUUACAUGAUGACAGCCACCAUGGACGGGGACCUGCUGCUGGUUUUAAAAUGCUUAUUCUAAGUUAAGAAAAACAAAGUUAUUUCUAUACAGGGGUGAUAGCACACUGCCUUGAACAUGCUUACAGAUGUUGUAUUCCAUGUCUACCAAGCCUGAUGUCAAAUGCUUCUGACACACACUGCACCUGUGUGUUUGGUAACUGGAAGAGUUAAGUCUUACAGUUAGCAACCAACCAUUAAUGCUGUAGAGGCUGGUCAUUAUCCCCCCCAGCAUUCUUUUUUUCACAGGGAAAAAGGUUAAAUACAGGAACAAAUGGCACUCUGGUAGCAAUACCCUGAGAACUAUUACCCUUUUUGUUUUUAAUACGUAAAUCUAGCAUCCAAACUUAAAAUUUUCUCUUUACUACGUGUGAAAAAGUGCUUAUUAAUGCUUGGUGUAUUUAUUGUUGAUGAAUAAUAAAUUAUUGGCCA
Molecule: non-coding RNA, 2992 nt
Organism: Xyrichtys novacula (pearly razorfish)
Lineage: Eukaryota; Metazoa; Chordata; Actinopteri; Labriformes; Labridae
Source: the annotation of a GenBank genome assembly